This 352-nucleotide unclassified non-coding RNA is filed under the name soil metagenome. RNAcentral's name for it is "partial contains 5.8S ribosomal RNA, internal transcribed spacer 2, and large subunit ribosomal RNA". The stretch from base 1 to 120 matches the Rfam family "5.8S ribosomal RNA", at positions 35 to 154 of the family's 154-position model. The record is from RNAcentral.
GAUGAAGAACGCAGCGAAAUGCGAUAAGUAAUGUGAAUUGCAGAAUUCAGUGAAUCAUCGAAUCUUUGAACGCACAUUGCGCCCGCCAGUAUUCUGGCGGGCAUGCCUGUUCGAGCGUCAUUACAACCCUCAGGCCCCCGGGCCUGGCGUUGGGGAUCGGCAGAAGCCCCCUGUGGGCACACGCCGUCCCUCAAAUACAGUGGCGGUCCCGCCGCAGCUUCCAUUGCGUAGUAGCUAACACCUCGCGACUGGAGAGCGGCGCGGCCAUGCCGUAAAACACCCAACUUCUGAAUGUUGACCUCGAAUCAGGUAGGAAUACCCGCUGAACUUAAGCAUAUCAAUAAGCGGAGGA